This 497-nucleotide ribosomal RNA is filed under the name uncultured bacterium. Its description in RNAcentral is "bacterial SSU rRNA". It matches the Rfam family "Bacterial small subunit ribosomal RNA", at positions 30 to 513 of the family's 1533-position model. The record is from RNAcentral.
AUUGAACGCUAGCGGGAUGCUUUACACAUGCAAGUCGAACGGCAGCAUGAGAGAGCUUGCUCUCUUGAUGGCGAGUGGCGGACGGGUGAGUAAUGUAUCGGAACGUGCCCGGUAGUGGGGGAUAACUACGCGAAAGCGUAGCUAAUACCGCAUAUUCUCUACGGAGGAAAGAGGGGGAUCGUAAGACCUCUUGCUACCGGAGCGGCCGAUAUCAGAUUAGCUAGUUGGUGGGGUAACGGCCUACCAAGGCGGUGAUCUGUAGCUGGUUUGAGAGGACGACCAGCCACACUGGGGACUGAGACACGGCCCAGACUCCUACGGGAGGCAGCAGUGGGGAAUUUUCGACAAUGGGGGGAACCCUGAUCGAGCCAUCUCGCGUGUGGGACGAAGGCCUUCGGGUUGUAAACCACUUUUCUCAACGAAGAAAAGUCUUAGGCUAAUACCUUAAGAUGCUGACGGUAGUUGAGGAAUAAGCACCGGCUAACUACGUGCCAGCA